AACGCGAAGAACCUUACCAGGUCUUGACAUCCAAAGAACCUUUACGAAAGUAAGGGGUGCCUUCGGGAGCUUUGAGACAGGUGGUGCAUGGUUGUCGUCAGCUCGUGUCGUGAGAUGUUGGGUUAAGUCCCGCAACGAGCGCAACCCUUGCUAUUAGUUGCUAACAUUUCGGAUGAGCACUCUAAUGGGACUGCCCGUGACAAGCGGGAGGAAGGUGGGGAUGACGUCAAAUCAUCAUGCCCUUUAUGAUCUGGGCUACACACGUGCUACAAUGGAUGGUACAGAGAGCAGCGAGGCCGCGAGGUGGAGCGAAUCUCAAAAAGCCAUUCUCAGUUCGGAUUGGAGUCUGCAACUCGACUCCAUGAAGUCGGAAUCGCUAGUAAUCGCGAAUCAGAACGUCGCGGUGAAUGCGUUCCCGGGUCUUGUACACACCG
Molecule: ribosomal RNA, 434 nt
Filed under: uncultured bacterium
Lineage: Bacteria
Description: bacterial SSU rRNA
Rfam family: Bacterial small subunit ribosomal RNA
Source: RNAcentral